RNAcentral lists this ribosomal RNA (480 nucleotides) under uncultured bacterium. Its description in RNAcentral is "bacterial SSU rRNA". It matches the Rfam family "Bacterial small subunit ribosomal RNA", at positions 28 to 507 of the family's 1533-position model. The record is from RNAcentral.
GACGAACGCUGGCGGCGUGCUUAACACAUGCAAGUCGAACGAGAAUCUACUGAAAGAGGAUUCGUCCAAUGGAAGUAGAGGAAAGUGGCGGACGGGUGAGUAACGCGUGAGGAACCUGCCUUGAAGAGGGGGACAACAGUUGGAAACGACUGCUAAUACCGCAUGAAGCAUAGGGGUCGCAUGAUUUUUAUGCCAAAGAUUUAUCGCUUCAAGAUGGCCUCGCGUCUGAUUAGCUUGUUGGCGGGGUAACGGCCCACCAAGGCGACGAUCAGUAGCCGGACUGAGAGGUUGAACGGCCACAUUGGGACUGAGAUACGGCCCAGACUCCUACGGGAGGCAGCAGUGGGGAAUAUUGGGCAAUGGGCGCAAGCCUGACCCAGCAACGCCGCGUGAAGGAAGAAGGCUUUCGGGUUGUAAACUUCUUUUAAGAGGGAAGAGCAGAAGACGGUACCUCUAGAAUAAGCCACGGCUAACUACGUG